RNAcentral lists this ribosomal RNA (363 nucleotides) under Globigerinita uvula. RNAcentral's name for it is "bacterial SSU rRNA". It matches the Rfam family "Eukaryotic small subunit ribosomal RNA", at positions 1182 to 1400 of the family's 1831-position model. Lineage: Eukaryota; Foraminifera; Rotaliida; Globigerinitidae. The record is from RNAcentral.
CAUGUGGCUUAAUUUGACUCAACGCGGGAAAUCUUACCGGGUCCGGACACACUGAGGAUUGACAGGCAAUAUAUGUGACUCUUCGGAGUUUGCAUUGUUAAAUAUGCUAGUCCUUUCAUGAUUAUGUGAUAGGUGGUGCAUGGCCGUUCUUAGUUCGUGGAGUGAUCUGUCUGCUUAAUUGCGUUUCAAAUUACUUAUAAGGUAGCAAUACGCGAUGAAACUUUCAAUAGUCUCUCACGAGAUUCACUUGAGUCGACUCGCUUCGCUAUCCUUUCGAAUGCAACGAACGUGACCGCAACCUCUUGUUGCCUUCGUUUAACAUCCUGCAGCUCGCUGUGGGUACUGAGGGCUUCACUCGGUGAC